AUCCAUCUGACAAGUCCCAAAUAUGACGAAACGGGUGUCCUGGAU
This 45-nucleotide non-coding RNA is filed under the name Schistosoma mattheei. Lineage: Eukaryota; Metazoa; Platyhelminthes; Trematoda; Strigeidida; Schistosomatidae. The record is from RNAcentral.